AGAGUUUGAUUCUGGCUCAGAACGAACGCUGGCAGCGUGGAUUAGGCAUGCAAGUCGAACGAGAUUCGGGGUUGACGCAAGGAUAUCCCGAUGAAAGUGGCGAAAGGGUGAGGAACGCGUGGGCAAUCUACCCUUGAGUUGGGGAUAACUCUUCGAAAGGAGAGCUGAUACCGAAUACGAUGGUGACGCCGAGGCGUCAUUGAUCAAAGACGGGGAACCGCAAGGUCCUGUCGCUUAAGGAGGAGCCUGCGUCCUAUCAGCUCGUUGGUGGGGUAACGGCUCACCAAGGCUUACGGGUAGCUGGUCUGAGAGGAUGGUCAGCCACACUGGGACUGAGACACUGCCCAGACUCCUACGGGAGGCUGCAGUCGAGGAUCUUCUGCAAUGGGCGAAAGCCUGACAGAGCGACGCUGCGUGGAGGAUGAAGGCCUUCGGGUUGUAAACUCCUGUCAUUCGGGAACAAUGGCACGAGGGUCAAUACCCCUUGUGCGUGAUGGUACCGGAAGAGGAAGCCACGGCUAACUCUGUGCCAGCAGCCGCGGUAAUACAGAGGUGGCGAGCGUUGUUCGGAUUUACUGGGCGUAAAGGGUGCGUAGGCGGUCUCGUAUGUCGGUUGUGAAAUCCCACGGCUUAACCGUGGAAUGGCGGCCGAAACCACGAGGCUAGAGUGCAGGAGGGGAGAGCGGAAUUCUUGGUGUGGCGGUGAAAUGCGUUGAUAUCAAGAGGAACACCGGUGGCGAAGGCGGCUCUCUGGAAUGCAACUGACGCUGAGGCACGAAAGCUGGGGGAGCAAACAGGAUUAGAUACCCUGGUAGUCCCAGCCCUAAACGGUGUGCACUUGGUGUGGGGGGAAUUGACCCCCUCCGUGCCGGAGCCAACGCGUUAAGUGCACCGCCUGGGGAGUACGGCCGCAAGGCUAAAACUCAAAGAAAUUGACGGGGGCCCGCACAAGCGGAGGAGCAUGUGGCUUAAUUCGAUGCAACGCGAAGAACCUUACCAGGGCCUGACAUGCAGCUGCACGCCCCGUGAAAGCGGGGAAGCCUUCGAGGGUGCUGCACAGGUGCUGCAUGGCUGUCGUCAGUUCGUGCCGUGAGGUGUUGGGUUAAGUCCCGCAACGAACGCAACCCCUGUGCUCAGUUGCUACCGCAGGUGAUGAGCUUGCGAGCACUCUGAGCAGACUGCCCGUGCAAGCGGGAGGAAGGUGGGGAUGACGUCAAGUCAGUAUGGCCCUUACGCUCUGGGCUGCACACGUGCUACAAUGAUCGGUACAGAGGGAUGCAAGACCGCAAGGUGGAGCCAAUCCUCAAAACCGACCUCAGUUCGGAUUGUAGUCUGCAACUCGACUACAUGAAGCCGGAUUCGCUAGUAAUGGCGCAUCAGCUACGGCGCCGUGAAUACGUUCCCGGGCCUUGUACACACCGCCCGUCACAUCAUGAAAGCCGUCUGCACCCGAAGUCGCCGUACCAACCCGCAAGGGGGGGAGGUGCCUAAGGUGUGGGUGGUGAUUGGGAUGAAGUCGGAACAAGGUA
This 1529-nucleotide ribosomal RNA is filed under the name metagenome. RNAcentral describes it as "bacterial SSU rRNA". It matches the Rfam family "Bacterial small subunit ribosomal RNA". The record is from RNAcentral.